This 57-nucleotide ribosomal RNA is filed under the name Pseudomonadales bacterium. Its description in RNAcentral is "partial 23S ribosomal RNA". Lineage: Bacteria; Pseudomonadati; Pseudomonadota; Gammaproteobacteria; Pseudomonadales. The record is from RNAcentral.
UGUGAGGCGUGAAGCUAACCAGUACUAAUUGCCCGUGCGGCUUGACUAUAUAAGAGA